UACGAAGGGGGCUAGCGUUGCUCGGAAUCACUGGGCGUAAAGGGUGCGUAGGCGGGUCUUUAAGUCAGGGGUGAAAUCCUGGAGCUCAACUCCAGAACUGCCUUUGAUACUGAAGAUCUUGAGUUCGGGAGAGGUGAGUGGAACUGCGAGUGUAGAGGUGAAAUUCGUAGAUAUUCGCAAGAACACCGGUGGCGAAGGCGGCUCUCUGGACCACAACUGACGCUGAGGCGCGAAAGCGUGGGGAGCAAACAGG
This 253-nucleotide ribosomal RNA is filed under the name uncultured bacterium. RNAcentral's name for it is "partial 16S ribosomal RNA". It matches the Rfam family "Bacterial small subunit ribosomal RNA", at positions 524 to 776 of the family's 1533-position model. The record is from RNAcentral.